ACACUUUAUGAAAUCCUCCAUUUGGGGUGAU
RNAcentral lists this non-coding RNA (31 nucleotides) under Mus musculus (house mouse). The record is from RNAcentral. Lineage: Eukaryota; Metazoa; Chordata; Mammalia; Rodentia; Muridae.